This 277-nucleotide ribosomal RNA is filed under the name uncultured Spirochaeta sp. RNAcentral describes it as "partial 16S ribosomal RNA". It matches the Rfam family "Bacterial small subunit ribosomal RNA", at positions 1107 to 1382 of the family's 1533-position model. Lineage: Bacteria; Pseudomonadati; Spirochaetota; Spirochaetia; Spirochaetales; Spirochaetaceae. The record is from RNAcentral.
GCUGUCUGUUGCCACCACCGAGAGGUGGGGACUCAGGCGGAACUGCCGGUGACAAACCGGAGGAAGGUGGGGACGGACGUCAAGUCAUCAUGGCCCUUAUGUCCUGGGCUACACACGUGCUACAAUGGCCGGUACAGAGCGCAGCGAGGCCGCGAGGCGGAGCGAAUCGCUUAAAGCCGGUCCCAGUACGGAUUGGAGUCUGCAACCCGACUCCAUGAAGUUGGAAUCGCUAGUAAUCGCGCAUCAGCAUGGCGCGGUGAAUACGUUCCCGGGCCUU